CACGUUGAUACGCGUGUUAGCCCGCUGAAAGCCGCACGCAUCGGCAGCCUGUGAAAGAAGCGGCCAACGACUUCCGCUCCGCGCUGACCUCUGAACUGUGAUGCCAUUGGUUCGUUUGCCUGCAGGCUGUGACAGGUAGAGACAGACAGCAGAUGGAGCGGGAUGGAAAUGACACUAAAGACGCGUCAUCACGCACACAGCAGAGUGCACGGUGGCACCGAGGGCGGCCACAGGAGACCGGGAAGUCUCCGGCUUUCACACGAGCAGCCAGGAGGGGGAAGCAUCUCUCUUUGGAAGUGUGCUCCCAAGAAAAGGAAAGAAAAAGACGGCAUCUUCGGUUUUUCAACCCAAGGACUGACAACACCAGCUUGCAUAGCUGUUCAGAAGGGAAUUGUUUCACUUCCUGUGCUACCCAAGAAUGGGCCGUGGCCGGCGCUGCAGAGCCUGGCGGGACGGACAGAGGGAGAGAGACGCAAUAGAAGGCUGAAGAAAAAAACAAGAAGACACAUGAAGAUGAGACCGUCGGAAAAGUAAACAGUGCGGAGGGAAAGAAGGGAGGGGGGCAAAAUCUCCAGCCAGAUCUAAGGUGCGCAGACAUGAAGGAACAUUCGUCCGUUAUCCACCUAAUAUAGAGCAUGACGUGUGGUUUGCAAAGGAAAUGAAAGGAUUUUGGACCUGACUCCUCUUGCUGCUUGAGCUGCUCUCAGGUAAAGCCUGAAACUGCAGAGUAACAAACUAAACUCCGGCCCACAAAUGCAAUAAUGCAUAACUCAAUCAUUGCAGCGAUGUUAUCUAAAGACACAAUUUGGCAUUGCUGUUUCCCCCCCAAAUUGAAUCAAACCACUGGACUAAACAACUGAAUAACAAUUGCCAAGACAUACCUGAAUUUGCAUAACGUUUCUUUUUUCUAGAACUAACCCAAUAUGCCGAGGAACAUCCUGGGAACUUCUGCAUGCUUAUUAGGUCAGAUACUGCUUUUGCUAAAGGCUCUUCUAACAAGUUGUUGACACCAUAUGCUCAACAUGCCAAUCUUGCUCUCUUCUCAGGUCUCCAUCAACAUGCUCUCUUAAUUCCAUGUUAGAAAGAAAUCUACAAGAACAAACUUAACAAAGACAAACUUGCCACCGAGAAUUGCAUUGACAAUUAAUUACAACCUGAUCUGCCAAAAUAGUUCCCUUUGGCCUGAUCCUGCUUCACAAUUCUCUCUUCUCUCAAUCUCUUUUUUUCUCCUCCAGAGGGGUCUAUUCCCAUAGUUUCCCCCUGUAAUAGUUUUUUGGCAUAUUACUCACCCCAGAGGUCUCACAUAAUUCACUUUUGAUAUCAUUGUUUAGUUGUAGAAUUAGAGGAGGGGUGCACACUGGGAAACGACUGUCGGGAAUGGCAGUGGGAUUUUAAUUCAUUCAUUGUUGUGACGUGGUAGGCGCCGAUAUCACAGCCGUGAAUCAAGGUGUUUUGGUUCGGGGAAGUUGCAGUUUUUUUCCUGGUUGUAUAUGUGUUUACAGGCUUUUCUUAAAUACAUUUUCCAUGCCACAAACCCCCAUUGUCACAGAGAUGACACUGUUGAUGGAUGAAAUAAAACUCAGAAAAAUCAG
This is a long non-coding RNA of Pungitius pungitius (ninespine stickleback), 1592 nucleotides long. RefSeq lists it as uncharacterized. The record is from RefSeq and is a predicted model, not a curated record. The transcript has 4 exons. Lineage: Eukaryota; Metazoa; Chordata; Actinopteri; Perciformes; Gasterosteidae.